UACGGAGGGCGCAAGCGUUACUCGGAAUCACUGGGCGUAAAGAGCGUGUAGGCGGGUUAAUAAGUCAGAAGUGAAAUCCAAUAGCUUAACUAUUGAACUGCUUUUGAAACUGUUAACCUAGAGUAUGGGAGAGGUAGAUGGAAUUUCUGGUGUAGGGGUAAAAUCCGUAGAGAUCAGAAGGAAUACCGAUUGCGAAGGCGAUCUACUGGAACAUAACUGACGCUGAGACGCGAAAGCGUGGGGAGCAAACAGGAUUAGAUACCCCCGUAGU
RNAcentral lists this ribosomal RNA (271 nucleotides) under uncultured bacterium. RNAcentral's name for it is "partial 16S ribosomal RNA". It matches the Rfam family "Bacterial small subunit ribosomal RNA", at positions 524 to 794 of the family's 1533-position model. The record is from RNAcentral.